UUCCUACGGGAGGCAGCAGUAAGGAAUAUUGGACAAUGGACGAAAGUCUGAUCCAGCCAUGCCGCGUGCAGGAUGAAGGUCCUAUGGAUUGUAAACUGCUUUUGUACGGGAAAAAACCCCUGGUCGUGUACCGGGGCUGAUUGUACCGUAAGAAUAAGGGUCGGCUAACUUCGUGCCAGCAGCCGCGGUAAGACGAAGGACCCGAGCGUUAUCCGGAUUCAUUGGGUUUAAAGGGUGCGUAGGCGGAUUGGUAAGUCAGUGGUGAAAUCUCCAGGCUCAACUUGGAAACUGCCAUUGAUACUGCCAGUCUUGAGUACAGCUGAUGUGGGCGGAAUAUGACAUGUAGCGGUGAAAUGCUUAGAUAUGUCAUAGAACACCGAUUGCGAAGGCAGCUCACAUA
Molecule: ribosomal RNA, 400 nt
Filed under: uncultured Sphingobacteriales bacterium
Lineage: Bacteria; Pseudomonadati; Bacteroidota; Sphingobacteriia; Sphingobacteriales
Description: bacterial SSU rRNA
Rfam family: Bacterial small subunit ribosomal RNA
Source: RNAcentral